This 300-nucleotide ribosomal RNA is filed under the name uncultured Bacillus sp. RNAcentral's name for it is "bacterial SSU rRNA". It matches the Rfam family "Bacterial small subunit ribosomal RNA", at positions 496 to 795 of the family's 1533-position model. Lineage: Bacteria; Bacillati; Bacillota; Bacilli; Caryophanales; Bacillaceae. The record is from RNAcentral.
GCUAAGUCUGGGCUGGGAGGCGCGGGAAGACAGGGGGUGGGAGGGUUAAUCGGAAUUACGGGGCGUAAAGGGCGCGUAGGCGGUUGUAUAAGUUAGAUGUGAAAUCCCCGGGCUUAACCUGGGAACUGCAUUUAAUACUGUAUGGCUAGAGUAGAGUAGAGGGAAGUGGAAUUUCCGGUGUAGCGGUGAAAUGCGUAGAUAUCGGAAAGAACACCAGUGGCGAAGGCGGCUUCCUGGACUCAUACUGACGUUGAGGCGCGAAAGCGUGGGUAGCAAACAGGAUUAGAUACCCCGGUAGUC